This 430-nucleotide ribosomal RNA is filed under the name bacterium. RNAcentral's name for it is "partial 16S ribosomal RNA". It matches the Rfam family "Bacterial small subunit ribosomal RNA", at positions 355 to 776 of the family's 1533-position model. The record is from RNAcentral.
UGGGGAAUAUUGGACAAUGGGCGCAAGCCUGAUCCAGCCAUGCCGCGUGUGUGAAGAAGGCCUUUUGGUUGUAAAGCACUUUAAGCGAGGAGGAGGCUACUUGGAUUAAUACUCUAGGAUAGUGGACGUUACUCGCAGAAUAAGCACCGGCUAACUCUGUGCCAGCAGCCGCGGUAAUACAGAGGGUGCGAGCGUUAAUCGGAUUUACUGGGCGUAAAGCGUGCGUAGGCGGCUUUUUAAGUCGGAUGUGAAAUCCCUGAGCUUAACUUAGGAAUUGCAUUCGAUACUGGGAAGCUAGAGUAUGGGAGAGGAUGGUAGAAUUCCAGGUGUAGCGGCGAAAUGCGUAGAGAUCUGGAGGAAUACCGAUGGCGAAGGCAGCCAUCUGGCCUAAUACUGACGCUGAGGUACGAAAGCAUGGGGAGCAAACAGG